AGUGAGUAGCUUGCUAUGAGCUGUUUUAGCGGCGGACGGGUGAGUAACGCGUGGGUAACCUGCCUCAUACAGGGGGAUAACAGUUAGAAAUGACUGCUAAUACCGCAUAAGCGCACAGUACCGCAUGGUACGGUGUGAAAAGCCGAGACGGUAUGAGAUGGACCCGCGUUAGAUUAGCCAGUUGGCGGGGUAACGGCCCACCAAAGCGACGAUCUAUAGCCGGCCUGAGAGGGCGACCGGCCACAUUGGAACUGAGACACGGUCCAAACUCC
RNAcentral lists this ribosomal RNA (272 nucleotides) under uncultured Lachnospiraceae bacterium. RNAcentral's name for it is "partial 16S ribosomal RNA". It matches the Rfam family "Bacterial small subunit ribosomal RNA", at positions 65 to 339 of the family's 1533-position model. Lineage: Bacteria; Bacillati; Bacillota; Clostridia; Lachnospirales; Lachnospiraceae. The record is from RNAcentral.